AUGAACGCUGGCGGUAUGCUUAACACAUGCAAGUCGAACGGACUCUUCGGAGUUAGUGGCGGACGGGUGAGUAACGCGUGAGAAUCUGGCUUUGGGUUCGGGACAACCACUGGAAACGGUGGCUAAUACCGGAUGUGCCGAGAGGUAAAAGAGAAAUUGCCUGAAGAUGAGCUCGCGUCUGAUUAGCUAGUUGGUGAGGUAAAGGCUCACCAAGGCAGCGAUCAGUAGCUGGUCUGAGAGGAUGACCAGCCACACUGGGACUGAGACACGGCCCAGACUCCUACGGGAGGCAGCAGUGGGGAAUUUGCCGCAAUGGGCGAAAGCCUAACGGAGCAAUACCGCGUGAGGGAAGAAGGCUCUUGGGUUGUAAACCUCUUUUCUUAGGGAAGAACAAAAUGACGGUACCUAAGGAAUCAGCAUCGGCUAACUCCGUG
RNAcentral lists this ribosomal RNA (434 nucleotides) under uncultured bacterium. RNAcentral's name for it is "partial 16S ribosomal RNA". It matches the Rfam family "Bacterial small subunit ribosomal RNA", at positions 29 to 507 of the family's 1533-position model. The record is from RNAcentral.